This 729-nucleotide ribosomal RNA is filed under the name uncultured organism. Its description in RNAcentral is "bacterial SSU rRNA". It matches the Rfam family "Bacterial small subunit ribosomal RNA", at positions 688 to 1421 of the family's 1533-position model. The record is from RNAcentral.
GCAUAGAUACUACACAGGACACCAAUUGCGAAGACAGCUCGCUAAGCUGCUACUGACGCUCAGGCACGAAAGCGUGGGGAGCGAACAGGAUUAGAUACCCUGGUAGUCCACGCUGUAAACUAUGAUCACUAGCUGUUGGCGAUAAAUUGUCAGUGGCUGAGCGAAAGCGUUAAGUGAUCCACCUGGGGAGUACGAUCGCAAGGUUGAAACUCAAAGGAAUCGACGGGGGCCCGCACAAGCGGUGGAACAUGUGGUUUAAUUCGAUGAUACGCGAGGAACCUUACCUGGGCUUAAAUGUAGAACGACGUCCUGAGAAAUCGGGAUUCCCUUCGGGGCGGACUACAAGGUGCUGCAUGGUUGUCGUCAGCUCGUGCCGUGAGGUAUCGGGUUAAGUCCCAUAACGAGCGCAACCCCUAUUGUUAGUUGCCAGCGGAUAAUGCCGGGGACUCUAACAAAACUGCCCGUGUAAACGGGAGGAAGGUGGGGAUGACGUCAAACCAGCACGGCCCUUAUGUCCAGGGCUACACACGUGUUACAAUGGCUGGAACAAAGGGCAGCUACCACGCGAGUGGAUGCUAAUCUCUAAAUCCAGUCUCAGUUCGGAUCGGAGUCUGCAAUUCGACUUCGUGAAGAUGGAAUCGCUAGUAAUCGCGCAUCAGCAAUGGCGCGGUGAAUAUGUUCCCGGGCCUUGUACACACUGCCCGUCAAGCCAUGGAAGUCAGUAGUACC